This 473-nucleotide ribosomal RNA is filed under the name Pedococcus dokdonensis. RNAcentral's name for it is "bacterial SSU rRNA". It matches the Rfam family "Bacterial small subunit ribosomal RNA", at positions 421 to 904 of the family's 1533-position model. Lineage: Bacteria; Bacillati; Actinomycetota; Actinomycetes; Micrococcales; Intrasporangiaceae. The record is from RNAcentral.
GGUUGUAAACCUCUUUCAGCAGGGAAGAAGCGAAAGUGACGGUACCUGCAGAAGAAGCACCGGCUAACUACGUGCCAGCAGCCGCGGUAAUACGUAGGGUGCGAGCGUUGUCCGGAAUUAUUGGGCGUAAAGAGCUUGUAGGCGGUUUGUCGCGUCUGCCGUGAAAAUCCGAGGCUCAACCUCGGACUUGCGGUGGGUACGGGCAGACUAGAGUGUGGUAGGGGAGACUGGAAUUCCUGGUGUAGCGGUGAAAUGCGCAGAUAUCAGGAGGAACACCGAUGGCGAAGGCAGGUCUCUGGGCCACUACUGACGCUGAGAAGCGAAAGCAUGGGGAGCGAACAGGAUUAGAUACCCUGGUAGUCCAUGCCGUAAACGUUGGGAACUAGGUGUGGGUCUCAUUCCACGAGAUCCGUGCCGCAGCUAACGCAUUAAGUUCCCCGCCUGGGGAGUACGGCCGCAAGGCUAAAACUCAA